This 479-nucleotide ribosomal RNA is filed under the name uncultured organism. Its description in RNAcentral is "partial 16S ribosomal RNA". It matches the Rfam family "Bacterial small subunit ribosomal RNA", at positions 330 to 800 of the family's 1533-position model. The record is from RNAcentral.
CGUACACUCCUACGGGAGGCAGCAGUGGGGAAUAUUGCACAAUGGGCGCAAGCCUGAUGCAGCCAUGCCGCGUGUAUGAAGAAGGCCUUCGGGUUGUAAAGUACUUUCAGCGGGGAGGAAGGCGAUAAGGUUAAUAACCUUGUUGAUUGACGUUACCCGCAGAAGAAGCACCGGCUAACUCCGUGCCAGCAGCCGCGGUAAUACGGAGGGUGCAAGCGUUAAUCGGAAUUACUGGGCGUAAAGCGCACGCAGGCGGUCUGUCAAGUCGGAUGUGAAAUCCCCGGGCUCAACCUGGGAACUGCAUUCGAAACUGGCAGGCUAGAGUCUUGUAGAGGGGGGUAGAAUUCCAGGUGUAGCGGUGAAAUGCGUAGAGAUCUGGAGGAAUACCGGUGGCGAAGGCGGCCCCCUGGACAAAGACUGACGCUCAGGUGCGAAAGCGUGGGGAGCAAACAGGAUUAGAAACCCGUGUAGUCCCAUGA